GGGUUGUGAGGUUAAGCGACUAAGCGUACACGGUGGAUGCCCUGGCAGUCAGAGGCGAUGAAGGACGUGCUAAUCUGCGAUAAGCGUCGGUAAGGUGAUAUGAACCGUUAUAACCGGCGAUUUCCGAAUGGGGAAACCCAGUGUGAUUCGUCACACUAUCAUUAACUGAAUCCAUAGGUUAAUGAGGCGAACCGGGGGAACUGAAACAUCUAAGUACCCCGAGGAAAAGAAAUCAACCGAGAUUCCCCCAGUAGCGGCGAGCGAACGGGGAGSAGCCCAGAGCCUGAAUCAGUGUGUGUGUUAGUGGAAGCGUCUGGAAAGGCGCGCGAUACAGGGUGACAGCCCCGUACACAAAAAUGCACAUGCUGUGAGCUCGAUGAGUAGGGCGGGACACGUGGUAUCCUGUCUGAAUAUGGGGGGACCAUCCUCCAAGGCUAAAUACUCCUGACUGACCGAUAGUGAACCAGUACCGUGAGGGAAAGGCGAAA
This 488-nucleotide ribosomal RNA is filed under the name Escherichia coli. RNAcentral describes it as "bacterial LSU rRNA". It matches the Rfam family "Bacterial large subunit ribosomal RNA", at positions 1 to 519 of the family's 2925-position model. The record is from RNAcentral. Lineage: Bacteria; Pseudomonadati; Pseudomonadota; Gammaproteobacteria; Enterobacterales; Enterobacteriaceae.